This is a long non-coding RNA of Microplitis mediator, 2424 nucleotides long. RefSeq lists it as uncharacterized. The transcript has 5 exons. The record is from RefSeq and is a predicted model, not a curated record. NCBI's taxonomy places the organism in Eukaryota, Metazoa, Arthropoda, Insecta, Hymenoptera, Braconidae.
GAAAAAUUCAUCUAUUUAUGAUAAUCUAGUUAUUUUGGAUGACGCAAUUAGAUAAAAGACACGAGUUAACAUAAUCAAAUAUAGUGGGAUCAAAUAAUACAAAUAGCCGUUUAAAAUUAUCAAUCCAUAAAGUAAUUGGUCAAAGUAUCGAUAGCUUCUGAAUACAUUGUAGUAAAGGCUUUACUCAACUACUAUCCGAGAUGUUUAACAUAAAGAUAUUUUUGUUGGCAGUUUUGAUAGUGACUUUGUUUGCUGCCGAAACUUUUGCAUGCGCCGGAGGCGGCCAAUUUUGUGGAGGCUCGGAGGUUUGUUGCAAUGGUGAAUGUCAACCUUUGUACGGUACACUUGGGAUAUGUGCAGAUUAAGUUACGUUAAAUUAACUUCGAAUUCACUUUCGACUCAGUUUAUACAUAUUAUAAAUAUAUAUGUUUUUCCAAAUUUAUAAGCAAACAAUUGCGACUAUUUUUUGUAUAAUGUCUGAUUUUAUUUAUAAAUAUAUGUAAACUUUAUCCAACGAAAUUUUAAAACAUAUAUAGAGGAGACCGGGGUACGAAUGUCCCCUUAAGUCGGUUUUUUCUUGUCAUGGCUUUUUGACCAUCAGAUUCGUUUAUAUUCCGUCUAUUUAGGAAGAAUCAGUCGAAAUUCUGUAAAAAAUCGAAAAAAAAUUUUUUUUUCUGGGGCACGAAGGCCCCCUUCCCAAAAAAUUAUAAAAAAAAAUUUUUUUUUAUUUUCCGUCAAGUUAUGACCUUUAUAAUGUUUUUAUUAUACUUUGGGUCAAUAUGUGAUAUGUGGGGCAAAAUGAACCACUCAAAAAAAAAAAUUGUCACAAAAAAAUUAACUUGACGGAAAAUAAAAAAAAAAAAUUUUUUCGUUACAAUUUUUUUUUUUUUAGUGGUUCAUUUUACCCCACAUGUCACACAUUGACUUAAAAUGUGAUAAAAACAUUGUAGGGGUCAUAACUUGACGGAAAUAAAAAAAAAUUUUUUUACGUAAUUUUUGAGGGGGGCCUUCGUACCCCAGGGGGCCAAAGCACCCCGGUCUCCCCUAUCUAUGUAUAAAUAUUAUUUUCAAACUUACUCAUGAAAUUCAAAAGGCUUCCUAAGGGUUAAAAUCGAAAGCUGAUAAUAAAAAAUCAAAGUGAUGUCGAGUUUUUCGGAAGAUAUUUUUUUUACAUUCAUACAGACCAACAGACGUCAAAUACACAAAAUCUUUUUUUUUUUAAUGAUAAUCAAUGUAAAUAGAAAAAAUUUUCAGUUACCGUUAAAAAAAAAAUUUUUUUCAUUUUUGCGGGCACCGCCUAAAAAAGAUUUAAAAAAUUUCUGGAUUUUAAAUGAAUUUGAUUAAGUUAAACUUUUUUGCAAGUAAUUUAUAUGAAGAACAAUUAUAUUUUGCAUGAUUAUUGGAUACAAAAAAAAAAAAAAAAAAAAUUUGUAAUAGUUUUUAUCAUAAAACACAAGUCAAUAAUAUUUUUCAACUGACAAUUGAUUUUUGAAAAAGUUUAACAAAAAAAAAUUUUAAAUAACGCUCAAUUAUAUUUACAAAAAAAAUUUUUGAAUUUUUCAAAACCAUUUAAAAUACAAAAUUUUUUUUUUAUAAAAUUUGAGGACAUCUCGUUUUGUCUAUCGUGCCUCCUUGCCCCCCCCCCCCUUUCCCUAUUACUUUUAUAUGAAUUACCAUAUAUAUUAUAUAUAUACUCAUAUGCUCGUCUUAAACUGCGCGAUAUCUUCGUAUGUUCAUAUUUCCUACUCAGACAAAAAAACAUAUAUCUGGAUAUAUAUUUUUUUCGAAUAGGUACUUUGUCAAUACUAAUGUUACUUAAUGUAAUUCUGUAACUAGACGCAAAGCUGUUGAGUCAUUUGAGGAAAAAAUAAAUGAACGUUAUCAUAAGGAAAUUGAUCUAUUUAUGAUAAUCUUCAGUUAUUUCAUAGAACGCAAUUAUAUAAAGAACACGAGUUCACAUCAGUAAAUGUAGUGGGGACAAUUAACAUAAAUUGCCAGUCAAAUUAUUGCUAAUCCAUAAAAUAAUUGGUCGAAGUAUCGAUAGCUUCUCUAUAAAUUGUAGCGAAGGCUUUACUCAACUACUGUACGAGAUGUUUAACAUGAAGAUAUUUUUUUUGGCAGUUUUGGUAGUGGCUUUGUUUGCUGCCGAAACUUAUGCAUGCCUUUAUGGCAGCCCGUGCUUGACUGACGGGGAUUGUUGCCCCGGUCGUUGUCAAAUGAUGCCGGAUUCACUAGGGAGAUGUGCGUAGUUUAAGUUUACCCUAAAUUAACUAUGAACUCACUGUUGACUCAGUUCAUAUAUAUUUACAUAUUUUUCUAAAUUUACGAUAAAACAAUAGCGACUAUUAUUUUGUUGGAUACCUGAUGUUAUUUGUAAAUAUUUUUAAACUCUGUGCAAUGAAAUAUAAAAAUAUAUAAAUAUCA